CAUCCUCCAAGGCUAAAUACUCCUGACUGACCGAUAGUGAACCAGUACCGUGAGGGAAAGGCGAAAAGAACCCCGGCGAGGGGAGUGAAAAAGAACCUGAAACCGUGUACGUACAAGCAGUGGGAGCACAGGUUUACCUGUGUGACUGCGUACCUUUUGUAUAAUGGGUCAGCGACUUAUAUUCUGUAGCAAGGUUAACCGUCACUCCCCUCGCCAUUACGAAGUUUAAUUCAGAGUCAAUCGAGGAAGACCAAGGGUUCCUGUCCAACGUUAAUCGGGGCAGGGUGAGUCGACCCCUAAGGC
This 303-nucleotide ribosomal RNA is filed under the name Salmonella enterica subsp. enterica serovar Anatum. RNAcentral's name for it is "partial 23S ribosomal RNA". It matches the Rfam family "Bacterial large subunit ribosomal RNA", at positions 454 to 1397 of the family's 2925-position model. Lineage: Bacteria; Pseudomonadati; Pseudomonadota; Gammaproteobacteria; Enterobacterales; Enterobacteriaceae. The record is from RNAcentral.